GGGUCUUUAUAACGGUGGCCUACGCGCGCUUGGAGGUAGCAAAUCCUACCUAAAUCGCGUUUGGUCGCUCGAUUGGCUUCGGUAGGUGUCCGGUUCAGUUACGAUCCAAGGAAGAAGACAGCUGACGUGCGGGGCCCGGCUAACAGUGGGAAGAAGAGAAGGGAAGCUCGGCUUGGGCCGGCCUGUUGCGUUUCGGGCCGAAGAGGAGAGGGGAAGGUUUUUUUCCUUUUUUCUUUUGCUUGUUCUCCUUUUAUUUCAAAGCCUUUUCAAAACAAUUUAAAAUCAGUUUGAAAAUAUUUUGACUUUGCCCAAAUUCACACAAUACAAUGAAAAUAAAUGCUCCAAAAUGAAUGCACAAACAAGUUGCUAAAUCCUAUGAUAAAUUUUAUUCAAAUGAAAAAUAUUAUUUUCCUAUAUUUUCAUGAGCACAAAAUACAAAAUUAAAUCAAAUUAGCUUU
This 458-nucleotide long non-coding RNA is filed under the name Sorghum bicolor (sorghum). RNAcentral's name for it is "long non-coding RNA (SBIC_LNC012298)". The record is from RNAcentral. Lineage: Eukaryota; Viridiplantae; Streptophyta; Magnoliopsida; Poales; Poaceae.